UUGUAACCCUGACACUAAAACCACAUUUUGAGCCUCAAAAAGGCCUUCAAACUUGUGCGGACCGGUGUGUCCUCACAAGUGACUUUUGGUUCUCACAAGUAUAGUAGAAUGCAGAUUUCGGUCCUCACAAAGAUAGCUAGACAGGAACACACACACACAUACUGGGGGUUGAUUGUUGUUAUGGUGACUCAGAUGCUUCCUGUUUCCUGGAGGAAGUGUGUGAAGAAUGUCAGGAAGCCAGAGGAUGUGGAGGCCGGGGCCAUGAGUAACGGACUGCUGUUGUCAUAGGAACAGUAUGUGAGAGCGUGAGUUGAACUCCGGUCCAAUGUUUAGAGACUUUUAUUUUGGAGGCCUUUGUUUAACCACCUGCUCCUGAUUGGCUGAUGUGAAACUGAGGCAGCACAGCGACGUUAGGCCUGAAGUUUAAACCUGAAGUAAUCCGAUGAGCUGAAGUCCUGCUCCGCGGACCUCACACAGUCUUGUUGUUAUCUUGGCUGGUAGUUUGAUUCCAAGGCUCGGUCCUGCUGGUGCUGCUGCUUCGGGUAACCCCAGCCCUUCAUCAGAGAUCACAGUCUAACAGCUGCUGAGAGGAAGGACCUGCAGCGUGAGCGUCAGGCGUGGGGUGGAGACACUGUCCGACCCCCUGCACUGGGUGGACGGGGCAUCCCAAGACAGAGCCGGCCUUCUUAUCCAACCGCUUCCUCUCAGCUGUAGACGAGCUGCUGUUCCAACAGACAACGCCACAAAGACCUUUCCCCGUCAGCUGAAACACUCCCGUCUUCUGGGAGGUUUCAAGGUGAGACUUCAGCGCACUGUUCCCCAUCUGCACCUGUAGCCAGGUACCAGCCCUCCACUUGCAGGGCCACCCGAAGUCCUUCCAGACAGGCUGAUGGAUCAGCUGACAGCCGUAUCA
This is a long non-coding RNA of Oreochromis niloticus (Nile tilapia), 913 nucleotides long. RefSeq lists it as uncharacterized. Lineage: Eukaryota; Metazoa; Chordata; Actinopteri; Cichliformes; Cichlidae. The transcript is spliced from 3 exons. The record is from RefSeq and is a predicted model, not a curated record.